AACGAACGCUGGCGGCAUGCCUAACACAUGCAAGUCGAACGAGACCUUCGGGUCUAGUGGCGCACGGGUGCGUAACGCGUGGGAACCUGCCCUUAGGUUCGGAAUAACUCCCCGAAAGGGGUGCUAAUACCGGAUAAUGUCUUCGGACCAAAGAUUUAUCGCGUUUGGAUGGGCCCGCGUUGGAUUCGCUAGUUGGUAGGGUAAAAGCCUACCAAGGCGACGAUCCAUAGCUGGUCGGAGAGGAUGACCAGCCACACUGGGACUGAGACACGGCCCAGACUCCUACGGGAGGCAGCAGUGGGGAAUAUUAGGCAAUGGGCGAAAGCCUGAUACAGCCAUGCCGCGUGAGUGAUGAAGGCGUUAGGGUUGUAAAGCUCUUUUACCCGGGAUGAUAAUGACAGUACCGGGUGAAUAAGCACCGGCUAACUCCGUG
Molecule: ribosomal RNA, 433 nt
Filed under: uncultured bacterium
Lineage: Bacteria
Description: partial 16S ribosomal RNA
Rfam family: Bacterial small subunit ribosomal RNA
Source: RNAcentral